Long non-coding RNA from Phyllopteryx taeniolatus (common seadragon), 2449 nucleotides. RefSeq lists it as uncharacterized. Lineage: Eukaryota; Metazoa; Chordata; Actinopteri; Syngnathiformes; Syngnathidae. The record is from RefSeq and is a predicted model, not a curated record. The transcript is spliced from 3 exons.
UUGCCCCCUCUGAGCAAAAGACCAGGCUCACUCCGAACCGAUUGCGUCGUGGCGAGCCAAACCUCCAUUCCCUUUAGCCAUUGCCGAAAAAGAGGAACUUGACCAUUGACCAUUCCCGCUUGCAUCAUAGUUUCUACUCAUAACACCCCCAUUACUGCCCUUAUUGAUUUUGGCGCCGAUGAAAAUUUGAUUCAUGAAGAUAUAAUUAACCAGCUCCAAAUCCCUCUCCAACCACUUACAUCACCGAAAAAAGUCACAGCCCUGGAUGGCCGAGUCAUUUCCCCUGUCACCCACCAAACAGUGCCUAUACCGCUCCUCAUUUCCGGUAAUCACCGUGAAAACAUUUCCCUCUUUGUCCUUCCUUCCCCUGAGACACCCUUAGUUCUUGGUAUUCCCUGGCUCAGACGUCACAACCCCGCCAUAGACCGGACUCAUUUAUCCAUCUCAGGAUUGAGUCCUCAUUGCCAUUACCACUGUCUGCUCUCUGCCGUUCCACCCUCAGAAGACCCACCACCCUCUGCCGCCCCAGUGGACCUCUCUUAAAUUCCUGUAGAGUAUCAACACCUCUCCCCGGUAUUCAGCAAGGACUUGGUAUCUCUCUACCCCACACACACACACACUCCCCCCACCUCCCGUACGACUGUGCCAUUGACCUAUUGCCGGGAGUGCCACUUCCCACCAGCUGACUCUACAAUCUCUCUCGUCCCGAGAAGAAGGCUAUGGAGGGUUACAUUCGCGAUUCCCUGGCCGCUGGACUCAUACACUUCACCUUGUCUUCAGUCGGGGCUGGAUUUUUCUUUGUGGAGAAAAAAGACACCACUCUCGGCCCAUACAUCGAAUUCUGAGGACUCAACGACAUCACGAUAAAAAACAACUCACCGCUACCAUUUAUCGACCAUUUGAAUUUUCACCAAAUUAGACCUCCGUAACGCCUUCCACCUCAUUCGUAUCCGAGAGGUGGACAAAUGGAAGACCGCCUUCAAUACCCCUCUCGGACACUUCGAGUAUCUGGUCAUGCCGUUCGAUUUAACUAAUGCCCUGCAGUUUUCCAAACAUUCAUAAAUGACAUCCUCCAUGACAUGUUAAACCGGUUCGUGUUUGUGUACCUCGAUGACAUCCUCAUUUUCUCCCGCUCCCCCGAAGAAAACCGCAUCCAUGUACGUCAAGUCCUCCACCGCCUCCUCGAGAACCGUCUAUAUGUCAAACCAGAAAAAUGCGAAUUCCCCCUCUCCUCAGCUACAUCAUUGCAAAAGGACAAUUACAACUGGACCCCGCCAAGAUCCAAGCCAUCACCGACUGGCCCAUCCCCACAACCCGGAAAGAAUUGCAACGUUUCCUCGGAUUUGCCAACUUCUACCUUCGAUUUAUCCGUAACUACAGCAAGGUCGCCAUCUCCCUCACCAGUCUCACAUCCACCAGCUCCCCCUUUCAGUAGACCCUGGCAGCAUUCCGUAAACUCAAAUCACUGUUCAGCAAAGCUCCCAUUCUGCGCCACCCUGACCCCUCCCUCCAGUUCAUGGUGGAGGUUGACGCCUCGGACUCCAGAGCUGGAGCUGUCCUCUCACAGCGAGACCCCACGACCCAGAAACUUCCCCCAUGUGCUUUUUUUUCCCGUCGCCUAUCCCCAGCGGAGAGGAAUUAUGACGUCGGCAACCGAGAGCCGCUGGCCAUAAUAUGGGCCCUGGAGGAAUGGAGGCACUGGCUGGAGGAGACUGAACAACCAUUUCUCAUUUGGACCGACCACAAAAACCUCGCUUACUUCCGUUCUGCUAAAUGUCUCAACCCUGAGUAGGUUCAAUUUCAGUCUUUCCUUCUGUCCCAGUUCCCGUAACACCAAGGCAGAUGCCCUGUCCCGUAUUCACUCGCCACCCUCCAACUCAGCAGAACCCGAACCCAUUCUCCCGUCCUCCUGUUUCAUUGGAGCAGCCACAUGAAAGAUUGAGCAGGUGGUCGAGGAGGCUCCAAAGAACCAACCUGAUCUUAAGACCGGGCCUCCAAACCGCCUGUUUGUACCGGAUUCUGCACAUUCUGAAGUCCUCCAGUGGGCCCACAACUCUAAACUCACUUGUUACCCUGGCAUCACCCGUACUACCCAGUUCAUCCAGCACCACUUCUGGUGGCCCAGCCUCAUCAAAGACACCUGAGAGUUCCUCCAAGCCUGCUCCGUCUGAAGUCUUCACACCUGCCCCCAGCUUGCCUGUUGCGCCCCUUGCCUAUUCCAAGCAGCCCUUGGUCUCACAUCGCUGUGGACUUCAUUACUGGGCUGCCCCCCUCAGAAGCACCUGUCUCCAAUCGGCCUCAUAACCACCUGCAUAUAAGCGUGCCUGUUCUUGGAAAUCCUCGCCAAAGUAUUGCAGUCUAGCGUGUUCUCCUGUGUUCCUGAUCCACGUCACUCCUUCCACCAAGCCAGCCGCCUAUCCACGCCACCGCCUGCCAACGCACCCAGGAC